Molecule: ribosomal RNA, 381 nt
Filed under: Triticum aestivum (bread wheat)
Lineage: Eukaryota; Viridiplantae; Streptophyta; Magnoliopsida; Poales; Poaceae
Description: partial small subunit ribosomal RNA
Source: RNAcentral
AUGGCGUGGCGAUGGACAUCAGCAAGGCGGAGCCGCAUUCUCCAGCGACCCGUAUGGUGCAGCAGUCCAGGCGCUGCAAAUCGCCGAUUCGUCCCAGGACGGAUCCAUCAUCGAUCUGAUGUCCACUACAACCGUUCAGAUUCUAGGCUCCGACGAGGAAGAGUAGGGAGACGGCGAUAUAUCAAGUUUAAAAUUACUAACCCGCACAAGCUCACGGGACUCAAGGCGUCGCCGGCUCACGAGACUCAAGGCGUCGCUGUCUCCCGUGAGCCGGCUCGUGUCCCAUGCCCUACUCUACAUUGCCGGCAACCGGACCAACACUCUCGGGAGCGCAGCCGGCCCCGGACAUGGUCACAUUGGAACCAAGCGAGCUCUGCUUAG